Sardina pilchardus (European sardine) is the source of this 312-nucleotide long non-coding RNA. RefSeq lists it as uncharacterized. The transcript has 3 exons. The record is from RefSeq and is a predicted model, not a curated record. NCBI's taxonomy places the organism in Eukaryota, Metazoa, Chordata, Actinopteri, Clupeiformes, Clupeidae.
GAUUAGCCAAAAUUGUGAAUGAUUGUGUAGUAUGGUAAUUGUCAUAAUUUUCCCUUGCCAGGUAGCUAAGCUACAUUAGCAAGAAGGAGGAGCAUUACUGGAACAUCGCAAAAUCAGGAAACCUCCACUCAGGCAGACGUGGAAACCCACCUCUCACUGCCAAGCACUCCCAGGCUGAUCAUGCUUGUGAAGAAGACUUCAGUCUACAACUCUACACUCCAUUUCUCCAGCUAUCUGUUGUGAUCAGGACGUUCUCUAGUUUUGUGGAAAAUACAUUCCCAGUUGUAACUGUUCAUAAGCUGUGUGUGUGUG